CCCCCAUAUAACCCCCAUUUCCCACCAUCAGGUCAUUUUAUUUCCACGUUGUUCCCCCCCAUCAAUGGGGGGGACAUUAAAUAACAGAGCUGCCUCCAGCGCCAUAGGGUGCCCCAUAGGUGCCCAUAGGGUGCCCCAUAGGGUGGCCAUAGGGUGCCCCACAGCUGCCCAUAGGGUGGUUAUAGGGUGCCCCAUAGGUGCCCAUAGGGUGGUUAUAGGGUGCCCCAUAGGGUGGUUAUAGGGUGCCCCAUAGCUGCCCAUAGGGUGGUUAUAGGGUGCCCCAUAGGGUGGCCAUAGGGUGCCCCAUAGAUGCCCACAGGGUGGUUAUAGGGUGCCCCAUAGGUGCCCAUAGGGUGCCCCAUAGGUGCCCAUAGGGUGGUUAUAGGGUGCCCCAUAGGGUGGCCAUAGGGUGCCCCAUAGCUACCCAUAGGGUGGUUAUAGGGUGCCCCAUAGGGUGCCCCAUAGCUGCCCAUAGGGUGGUUAUAGGGUGCCCCAUAGGUGCCCAUAGGGUGGUUAUAGGGUGCCCCAUAGGGUGCCCCAUAGGUGCCCAUAGGGUGGUUAUAGGGUGCCCAUAGGUGCCUAUAGGUGUCCCAUAGGUGGCCAUAGGGUGGCUAUAGGGUGCCCCAUAGAUGCCCAUAGGGUGCCCAUAGAUGCCAAUAGGGUACCCCAUAGGUGCCCAUAGGGUGGCCAUAAGUGCUUAUAGGUGCCCCAUAGUUGCCCAUAGGGUGGCUGUAGGGUGCCCAUAGAUGCCCCAUAGGGUGCCCCAUAGGUGCCCACAGGUGCCCAUAGGGUGGCAUUGUGUGGCCAUAGGUGCCCAUAGGAUUGUUAUAGGGCGCCCAUAGGCGGCCAUAGGGUGCCUAUAGGAUGGCUGUAGGGUGCCCAUAGGGUGCCCAUAGAUGCCUACAGGGUACCCAUAGGUGCCCAUAGGGUGGCCAUAGGCGGCCAUAGGGUGGCUAUAGGGUACCCUGUAGGGUGGCCAUAGGGUGCCCCAUAGGGUACCCCAUAGGGUGGCUAUAGGGUACCCCAUAGGGCGGCUAUAGGGUGGCCAUUGGGUGGCCCAUAGGGUACCCCAUAGGAUACCCCAUAGGGUACCCAUAGGGGGCCCAUAGGAUACCCCAUAAGAUACCCCAUGGGAUACCCUAUAUUGUGGCUAUAGGGUGGCUAUAGGGUACCCCAUAGGCUGGCUAUAGGGUGGCCCAGAGGGUACCCCAUAGGAUACCCCAUAGGAUACCCUAUGGGAUACCCUAUAUUGUGGCUAUAGGAUACCCCAUA
Non-coding RNA from Coturnix japonica (Japanese quail), 1272 nucleotides. The record is from RefSeq and is a predicted model, not a curated record. NCBI's taxonomy places the organism in Eukaryota, Metazoa, Chordata, Aves, Galliformes, Phasianidae.